RNAcentral lists this ribosomal RNA (520 nucleotides) under uncultured bacterium. Its description in RNAcentral is "bacterial SSU rRNA". It matches the Rfam family "Bacterial small subunit ribosomal RNA", at positions 8 to 525 of the family's 1533-position model. The record is from RNAcentral.
AGAGUUUGAUCCUGGCUCAGAUUGAACGCUGGCGGCAUGCCUUACACAUGCAAGUCGAACGGUAACAGGUCUUCGGAUGCUGACGAGUGGCGAACGGGUGAGUAAUACAUCGGAACGUGCCCGAUCGUGGGGGAUAACGGAGCGAAAGCUUUGCUAAUACCGCAUACGAUCUACGGAUGAAAGCAGGGGACCGCAAGGCCUUGCGCGGACGGAGCGGCCGAUGGCAGAUUAGGUAGUUGGUGGGAUAAAAGCUUACCAAGCCGACGAUCUGUAGCUGGUCUGAGAGGACGACCAGCCACACUGGGACUGAGACACGGCCCAGACUCCUACGGGAGGCAGCAGUGGGGAAUUUUGGACAAUGGGCGAAAGCCUGAUCCAGCCAUGCCGCGUGCAGGAUGAAGGCCUUCGGGUUGUAAACUGCUUUUGUACGGAACGAAAAGACUCCUUCUAAUAAAGGGGGUCCAUGACGGUACCGUAAGAAUAAGCACCGGCUAACUACGUGCCAGCAGCCGCGGUAAUA